Molecule: small RNA, 325 nt
Filed under: Chinchilla lanigera (long-tailed chinchilla)
Lineage: Eukaryota; Metazoa; Chordata; Mammalia; Rodentia; Chinchillidae
Description: 7SK RNA (ENSCLAG00000021663.1)
Rfam family: 7SK RNA
About the family: 7SK was discovered as an abundant small nuclear RNA in the mid-70s but a possible function has only recently been suggested.
Source: Rfam by way of RNAcentral
GGAUGUGAGGGUGAUCUGGCAGCGACAUCUGUCACCCCAUUGAUCACCAGGGUUGAUUCGGCUGAUCCGGCUGGCCGGGUGGGUGUUCUCUUCUUUCCUCAAUGCUCUAAGUGCGUCCCUCCCAAAGCUGCGCCUCGGUUGAAGAGGACGACCACUCCCGACCUAGGAGGACCGGUCCUCGGUCAAGGGUGUAUGAGUAGAUGCGCUCCCCUGCUAGAACCUCCAAACAAGCUCUCAAGGUCUAUUUUGCCAAACUUAAAAUUGAACUCGAGGUACUCUACUAUUAUGGAGCUAUAUCCCCAAUUCUAUUUUUUGGGGGGUGUGG